This 94-nucleotide non-coding RNA is filed under the name Anopheles arabiensis. Lineage: Eukaryota; Metazoa; Arthropoda; Insecta; Diptera; Culicidae. The record is from RNAcentral.
GUGUCAUUUGAAAGUAGAGCAGGUAAGCAUUCCCCCUUGACAAGGAUGGAACACAUACCCUGAGAUCAGUGGGCACCACCACUGAUCGUAUUGA